GGAGCAGCAAUGCCGGGUCAGCAUAACGUAUUGAAAUUAUGAUGGAAUAAGCCUCUACGGAUAGACACAGAAGGUUAGAGCCGAGUAUUCGCAAUGCGAAGGUCAGGAGUUCGAACCUCCUCGGCUCCACCA
Molecule: transfer RNA, 132 nt
Filed under: Pseudomonadota bacterium
Lineage: Bacteria; Pseudomonadati; Pseudomonadota
Description: Proteobacteria bacterium tRNA-OTHER
Source: RNAcentral